Molecule: RNA transcript, 3269 nt
Organism: Numida meleagris (helmeted guineafowl)
Lineage: Eukaryota; Metazoa; Chordata; Aves; Galliformes; Numididae
Gene name: probable G-protein coupled receptor 141
Exons: 4
Source: RefSeq, a predicted model, not a curated record
UCAGAUGCAUAUUUCUUCACUUACUUGCUUAAUGGCAAAAUCCAGUACCUUGUAAUAGUUGUACAGCUGAGGGAAUCACUGCCCAUCUUAAAACUGACCAAGCUGUAGACAGAAGCAGUCCUGCCACGUGACUCUGUCCUACAUGUCCAAGCACAAUGGCUAUUUCCGACAGCUCAGCAACUUUCCAGCAUCUUCUUCUGCAUGAACAGAGUAACACUGGAAGCUGAACUUACUUGAUUGCUAUCUCUGCAAAGAAAAAAAACCAACUUCUUCCUUCCUGUAUGUGGGCUGAGAAAACGUCAGAAAACCUUCAGCUGCUCUUGGGUGAAUAGCAGCAACCAGGGCUCUUUUUUUUCACACUGAUUAUAUGUGCAGUAUGCUACGGGUGUAUGAAAUGGCAACAAAGGGAGGAGAAAUCGCCAAACAAAGACAUUACAAGAUGAGUGCAACAGAAUUAAGAACUGCCGAUUAAAGCCAUGUUAUUGAUUCUAAACGAAAGAGUAAUCAGAGAUUACCUCUCCCAGACACCAUUUUUCAGCGGUUACUACAUUCCUUUGAUACCCUCUAAAAGAGCAGUGCAAGAGAAAUUCUGUACCAAAGAGUCUUGGAAAUGAAGCAAGAAGAAAUAGACUUUUCAUCUGCAAAUCCUUAUUUCCAGUGCACUCUACAAAUCUAGAAACUGUUGCUGCCUUACACGUGCCCUGCAGUCAUCCAGCAAAAUGCUAAAAAUAUGGCCUUGGCGUCUUCAUAAAUUAUGCAUAAAGUUAACCUUCAAAAGAGGUGCUAAGGAGGAUGCACAACAGCAGCUUAAUCCAGGAGAAUCAUUUUUCCAACAGGACAGCGCUGGACACCUCUGACAGGCUUCACUUUAUUCUCAUAAUCCUGUACAGCAUUGACCUAGUUGGGGGUACUCUUGGUGUCAUUGUGAUGACUCACCAGUUGUAUCGAAGAAGAUCCCAAUCUGUGAUGAUUAUCAUCAUCAUCAACCUCCUGGUGCUACACACCUUUCUGCUACUCAGCAUCCCCUUUCGCCUCAGCUAUUACGUUUUACAGGAAUGGAAAUUUGGGGCAUUCACUUGCAAGCUAGUAAGUGCCAUUAUCUACCUCCAUAUGUACACCAGCUUCACCUUUUAUGUUGCUAUCAUCAUAAUACGCCUCUUCCAACUUGAGUUCAACAAGUGCUACACUUCAAUUUGGGUGACUGCUGUCUGGAUGCUAGGAGCGCUGGUGAUUGCUCCUGUUUUUCUCUCUUACUAUGGUACUUCAAAAACAUACCCUUCCUCUCAAUGCUUUCAGUUCCAGAAGGAGAUGGAAGAGAUGCCCAUGGUGGUAGUAAACUACUGCUUGGUUGGAGUUCUGCUAGCAGUUUGUGGUUUGCUCACCAUAAUCCAGUUACCUGUGAUGUGCAGACUGACUGUGAAAUACUGGCCUGACAUCAACUCCCAUGUGGAAUUCAGGGCUCAGGCAAAGAGUUUCUUCUUCACCUUGGUAACAAUAGUGUGCUUUAUGCCUCAUCACAUAUUCAGAGUAUAUUACAUCCAAAAUUUCCACCUGGAUAAAGACCAUAAACUUCUCACGUACAAUGAAAUUUUCUUAGCUUUAACAACAAUGUGCUGCUUGGAUAUGUUGUGCUUCAUAGCAGGCAUAGCCCACUGAACCAAGAACUAGCAAGGAAUCCAACCAACAGUGUGUCAAUACUGGCUCUUAGCAGAAAUAAAACUGCAUCAGGACUUUACUGGGCCAGGGAGACUGCUGAGUUUUCAGCAUAACUACACAGGAUUGUAGUAGUUUCUGGCUUUCACAGACUAGAAAGAUACAUCUUUCAGAAGCUACUGUUUUUCACCUUCUCCCUUGAAGACAGACAGAAGAGCCUUGCUUCAGACUCUGAUCUAAAUGUCAUGCCGUGAAUCUUCAUUAAGAUUUUCCUCAGCUGUCUCUCUCUAACCAUUGCAGUACAACUAUCUGACCCUUCAUCUAUUUUUCCUCAGCGCAUCUCAAUAACAAGCUAUUGUGUCUAAUAAAUUGUCCACUGUGAAAAUCUAACAACUUAGUUUGUAGCUGUGAUACCAAAGGGAAGAGGAAAGAAAGAAAUUUCUUUACAAUAUUUUUCCACAAGGGAUUUUAGAUAACAAGGACAUAAACUGUAUAAAAAAACACAUUCAAGGCAUGAAACAGGGCAUGAACAAAAAGUUUUAGCAGAAUAUUUUAGAAGAAGCUUUUCUUCACCUCUAUAAAGUGUAUAUUAAAUAAAAUGAAAGUAUUUAGAAUUCUAACAACUCAAUCUUUACUUGCGUCAUUUCAGAAAUACAAGCAGCUUCCAGAAUUAUGGUACUUAUGCCUCUAGAGUGAGCAAGAAAUGAACAGGUCACAAGUUACAAAAAACUACUGUCUUAGGUUAAUCUCCCACCAGGACCGAUUCGGUGGCUGUUAUUCCCUAAGUCCAUCACAGCUACUACAGUUCCCUGCCUGUAACUGGAGCUAGAAUUCAGGACUGGGGGCUUUGGUACUCCACUGAAUGAUCAUCUGCUCUCUGACACGGGGAAAUAUUUUAUCAGACUUCCAAAAACCUUUUAUCAGAAAACAUCUUUGAUGUCUGGUCACUUUCAUUUGCAUGUUAUUUAUUAUCAGGUGCCAUAUUUUUCCAUUUAUAGAUGUAACAAAGCAAACCCAGAAUAGACUGACUGAACUGUGUUUAAUCAGUUCAACAUAUGUUCCUGCAUGUGUAUAUAAACUUUUGAUAGUGUAUAUUUUUUCCAUUAGACUGAUUAUAUUAUUGUGACCUUAAAAAGUGGAAUUAAACAUUCAAGUCUUGCUCCUUCAGGAACUACAUCCAUCAUGGAAAUGGCUGUUUCUCUUCAUUAUGUGCAAGAGAUUUUCAUGCAUGCUUGUUCUGUUCAGUGUAGAAGGUCUCUAACCCUUCUAAGGCCCCACUGUCAUUUGCUGCAUCAUAACAGCCCAAGGCCAGAUUUCUCCCAUUCCAGAUUCCCAGGACUCACCCAAGAGUAUAUUUCCUUCUUCAUAGCACCAUGAGCUGUCAUAAUUUGUACAUUAGCAAUCUUUUCUAUAGAACUGUUAUGAUGCCUGGAUUCAAUCAGGUUGAAAGUUGAUUUGAAAGGGUUAAAGAGCUACAUCUAUCAAGUAAUGCUAGUAAUGUCUCAGACUGGCAUUUUUAUUUUUUAUUUUUAACAAAAGAGUACGGAUUGACUCUGUCAAUGCUGAAAAGAUUUUUUACUUUUAAUCGUUGCCAUUAAAAACAUUGUUUAAAAUUC